ACUAUUUUAGUACAAACAGUAUAAUUGAUUUCCAAUCAAAAGGUUGAAAAAAUCAAAAUAGUA
This 63-nucleotide transfer RNA is filed under the name Geisha distinctissima. Its description in RNAcentral is "tRNA-Gly". The record is from RNAcentral. Lineage: Eukaryota; Metazoa; Arthropoda; Insecta; Hemiptera; Flatidae.